Molecule: ribosomal RNA, 499 nt
Filed under: uncultured bacterium
Lineage: Bacteria
Description: partial 16S ribosomal RNA
Rfam family: Bacterial small subunit ribosomal RNA
Source: RNAcentral
GACGAACGCUGGCGGCGUGCCUAAUACAUGCAAGUCGAGCGAAGUUUUUCUGGUGCUUGCACCGGAAAAACUUAGCGGCGAACGUGUGAGUAACACGUAAAGAACCUGUCUCAUAGACUGGGACAACUAUUGGAAACGAUAUCUAAUACCGGAUAAUAGCAUUAACUGCAUGGUUGAUGUUUAAAAGUUGGUUUUGCUAACACUAUGAUAUGGCUUUGCGGUGCAUUAGCUAGUUGGUGGGGUAAAGGCCUACCAAGGCGACGAUGCAUAGCCGACCUGAGAGGGUGAUCGGCCACACUGGGACUGAGACACGGCCCAGACUCUUACGGGAGGCAGCAGUAGGGAAUCUUCCGCAAUGGGCGAAAGCCUGACGGAGCAACGCCGCGUGAGUGAAGAAGGAUUUCGGUUCGUAAAGCUCUGUUGUUAGGGAAGAAUGAUUGUGUAGUAACUAUACACAGUAGAGACGGUACCUAACCAGAAAGCCACGGCUAACUACGUG